AGCCUACAAGUCCUUUACUGACGCUAAAGCUCGAAGGUGCGGGUAUCGAACAGGAUUAGAUACCCUGGUAGUCCGCACGGUAAACGAUGGAUGCCCGCUGUUUGCGAUAUAGUGUGAGCGGCCAAGCGAAAGCGUUAAGCAUCCCACCUGGGGAGUACGCCGGCAACGGUGAAACUCAAAGGAAUUGACGGGGGCCCGCACAAGCGGAGGAACAUGUGGUUUAAUUCGAUGAUACGCGAGGAACCUUACCCGGGCUUGAACUGCAGCAGAACGAUUGAGAGAUCAUGAGGUCCUUCGGGACUGCUGUGGAGGUGCUGCAUGGUUGUCGUCAGCUCGUGCCGUGAGGUGUCGGCUUAAGUGCCAUAACGAGCGCAACCCCUCUCUUCAGUUGCCAUCACUUCGGGUGGGCACUCUGGAGACACUGCCACCGUAAGGUGUGAGGAAGGUGGGGAUGACGUCAAAUCAGCACGGCCCUUACGUCCGGGGCUACACACGUGGUACAAUGGGUGGUACAGAGCGUCGGCCGCCGGCAACGUCGGUCCAAUCGUGAAAUCCAUCCUCAGUUCGGACUGGGGUCUGCAACCCGACCCCACGAAGCUG
RNAcentral lists this ribosomal RNA (600 nucleotides) under uncultured bacterium. RNAcentral describes it as "bacterial SSU rRNA". It matches the Rfam family "Bacterial small subunit ribosomal RNA", at positions 723 to 1328 of the family's 1533-position model. The record is from RNAcentral.